UAAUAGUAUCAGAUGCCUGCGAAACCCCCAUCACUUGAUAGGGGCCACUAACCUCAUACAGGAGUAGCCAUACAGUGAGUACCCCACACCACUGCUGUUUGUAUCACACCUGUCUAAACUGAUAGAGUGUCCCCACUCUUGUGUGGCCACAGAGAUUCUGAUUCUGCCAUGGCAUGCACUGUGCCCAAAGUCUAUUAAUUACAGCCAAAGCAGCUUUGGGGAGACGUUACUUCAGUGCCCAAGGAUAGCUGAAGCCAACACGGCCAAACAAACUAACACUCCAAGAGGUAUGUUCAGGAGAAAAACUACUUACUACAAAGGCCACCCCCUAAACGUGGUAGGGAUAACUAUCUACCAGAGGUACAAAUUACAACAGAGGAACACAAGAAAUGAAAACAAACAAAAACGAGGCAAUAUGGUAUCUCCAAGAGAACAUAGUAACUCUCUAGCAAGAGAUUUCAAAUAAAUAGAAAUGAAUGAGAUAGAAUUUAAAGGAUGAUUAUUAAAAAAACCCAAUGAGAUCCAAGAGAAUGAUAAAUAGUCAAAUGAAACUAGGAAGAUGAUGUAGGAUAUGAAUGAGAAAUUCACCAAAAAGAUAGACAUUUGGAAAAAGAACUAAACAGAAACCUUGGAAAGAAAGAGCUCAAUAAGUCAAAUAAAAAAUACAGUUGAAAGCCUCAAUAAUAGACUAGAUCAAGUGGAAGGAGGGAUAUUUGAACUUGAAGAUAGAUCUUUUGAAAUAUCCUAGUCCUCAAAACACUAUUAAGAAAAAGAAUAAAAAAUGAAGAGGGAAUUCAAAAAUCUGUGAGACAGCAUUAAAUAAUGCAUUUUCAUAAUAUCUGAAGGUGAGAGGAAAAAGGAUAAGGGCAUAGAAAAUCUAUUCACUGAAAUAAUAUCAGAAAAUAACUUGGG
This 912-nucleotide long non-coding RNA is filed under the name Marmota monax (woodchuck). Lineage: Eukaryota; Metazoa; Chordata; Mammalia; Rodentia; Sciuridae. The record is from RNAcentral.